Molecule: ribosomal RNA, 429 nt
Filed under: Gemmatimonadota bacterium
Lineage: Bacteria; Pseudomonadati; Gemmatimonadota
Description: Gemmatimonadetes bacterium partial 16S ribosomal RNA
Rfam family: Bacterial small subunit ribosomal RNA
Source: RNAcentral
UAGGGAAUCUUCGGCAAUGGACGAAAGUCUGACCGAGCAACGCCGCGUGAGUGAAGAAGGUUUUCGGAUCGUAAAACUCUGUUGUUAGAGAAGAACAAGGACGUUAGUAACUGAACGUCCCCUGACGGUAUCUAACCAGAAAGCCACGGCUAACUACGUGCCAGCAGCCGCGGUAAUACGUAGGUGGCAAGCGUUGUCCGGAUUUAUUGGGCGUAAAGCGAGCGCAGGCGGUUUCUUAAGUCUGAUGUGAAAGCCCCCGGCUCAACCGGGGAGGGUCAUUGGAAACUGGGGGACUUGAGUGCAGAAGAGGAGAGUGGAAUUCCAUGUGUAGCGGUGAAAUGCGUAGAUAUAUGGAGGAACACCAGUGGAGAAGGCGGCUCUCUGGUCUGUAUCUGACGCUGAGGCUCGAAAGCGUGGGGAGCAAACAGG